Molecule: ribosomal RNA, 384 nt
Filed under: uncultured Campylobacterota bacterium
Lineage: Bacteria; Pseudomonadati; Campylobacterota
Description: bacterial SSU rRNA
Rfam family: Bacterial small subunit ribosomal RNA
Source: RNAcentral
CAGCUAAGUGGCGCACGGGUGAGUAAUAUAUAGGUAACGUGCCUUCAAGAAGGGGAUANCNAUUGGAAACGAUUGCUGAUACCCUAUAUGCCUUUAGGACUUAAGUCUGCAAGGGAAAUAUUUAUAGCUUGAAGAUCGGCCUGUACAGUAUCAGUUAGUUGGUGAGGUAAUGGCUCACCAAGACAAUGACGCUUAACUGGUUUGAGAGGAUGAUCAGUCACACUGGAACUGAGACACGGUCCAGACUCCUACGGGAGGCAGCAGUGGGGAAUAUUGCACAAUGGACGAAAGUCUGAUGCAGCAACGCCGCGUGGAGGAUGGCACAUUUCGGUGCGUAAACUCCUUUUAUAUAGGAAGAUAAUGGUCGGUACUAUAUGAAUAAGC